RNAcentral lists this long non-coding RNA (248 nucleotides) under Mustela putorius furo (domestic ferret). RNAcentral's name for it is "lncRNA (ENSMPUG00000029757.1)". The record is from RNAcentral. Lineage: Eukaryota; Metazoa; Chordata; Mammalia; Carnivora; Mustelidae.
UACUUCUUUAUAGUAUAUGUGUGAAUAACUUUGAUUUAAAAAUUAGCUCUUUCCCAUCUUGCAGGAUGGCCAGUGAGAAAUCUGAGAAGCUGGAUACUAAGGAAAGAGAAACUUGAAGCCAAGAAGACUGAUGCUGGUGGCAAGAAUGGUUUAAGAGCUUCUUGCUCUGGACAAGUCAUCAUUCUUCUGAGAAGUCUUCCAUAUAAGUGUAAAAAUUUAAUAAAAUUGAUAUGCUCUUCUUCUCCUAA